Molecule: long non-coding RNA, 421 nt
Organism: Patella vulgata (common limpet)
Lineage: Eukaryota; Metazoa; Mollusca; Gastropoda; Patellidae
Exons: 3
Source: RefSeq, a predicted model, not a curated record
GAUUACUGGAUAACCUAUCUAUAUAAGAGAUUAGUUGGAGAUGGAGUAUUAAGUGUAUCAUUUGGUGGAGAUACUCAUCUAAGAGCCUACGCUCAUUGUACAAGAGUACCCAGUUCCCAUGGUUACAAUAAGGGCAGUGUAACUAUUAUUCUGAUGAAUAUUGGUUUAAAUACCAUGCCAGUCGAGAUAAAAGGGGGUCAUACACAACACCUGUAUAUGUUUUCACCUGGUGAUAGUCACGGUCUUAAUUCAGAGUCAAUCAAACUUAACGGCCAUGUUUUGAAAUUAGACAGCCAUAACAACUUCCCUAACAUGCCUCCUGUAUCACAUACGGGUACAGUUCAAGUUGGGCCAGCAGCCAUUGGUUUUAUUGUUCUACCAGAUGCCAAUCAUUCCGCUUGUCGUUAAUAAAAUAUUUUUA